Rosa chinensis is the source of this 579-nucleotide long non-coding RNA. RefSeq lists it as uncharacterized. NCBI's taxonomy places the organism in Eukaryota, Viridiplantae, Streptophyta, Magnoliopsida, Rosales, Rosaceae. The record is from RefSeq and is a predicted model, not a curated record. The transcript has 2 exons.
CUUACAAUUUCUCCACGGGUGAAACAGACCAAACUUCCAAUCUCUCCGAUGGGACCAAACUUUUCUCAAGUACCUAAUACAAUCUCUCCGAUGGUCGGUGUUAGAUAGACCAAACGUUUCCAUUGCGCCGGUAUCCGUCCAAAUCCAGUUCUCUUGUUCUUUAAAUACCUCCUCUCGCUCAAGUCAUCAAACUCAGAAGCAAAGUUCCUAUUCCUAUUAUCAGAAACAAUGUUCUCCUCGGAUACAAUCCACAAGCCAAUGAGCUUCAUAAAAAACGACAAGGAAAAACAGAAGGUGGCCGGUGAAAUUGCUUCUUCAUCAUCGGCGGUGGCGGCCAAUAGUGAACAUGGAGAGAAGUAGCAGCAGCAGCAGCUAGAGAGCAAGAGUAUGCUGCCAUCAAUGUUUUGAAACGCUGAGGCGUACCCCAAGGCGUUUUCGGAACAGCCUCACUAAGGAGUAAGCCUUACGGCAUAAAAGAUAUAUGUAUAUAUUUAUAUAUAGAACAUUAUGUUUUAGAGAAACUGAAAUUGAGAGGAAUUUGCUGUGUCUUCUUAUUGAUAAUAGGGGCCUCUUUAUAUA